Molecule: ribosomal RNA, 253 nt
Filed under: uncultured bacterium
Lineage: Bacteria
Description: partial 16S ribosomal RNA
Rfam family: Bacterial small subunit ribosomal RNA
Source: RNAcentral
UACGUAGGGAGCAAGCGUUGUCCGGAAUCAUUGGGCGUAAAGCGCGCGUAGGUGGCUUCGUAAGUCCGUUGUGAAAGUCAAAGGCUCAACCUUUGAAAGCCGAUGGAUACUGCGGAGCUAGAGUACGGAAGAGGCGAGUGGAAUUCCUGGUGUAGCGGUGGAAUGCGCAGAUAUCAGGAGGAACACCGGUGGCGAAGGCGGGUCUCUGGGCCGAAAUUGACGCUGAGGAGCGAAAGCGUGGGGAGCGAACAGG